UCAUUCGAUUUGUUGUGCAUUGGAUGAUGGAAAAACCAGCAAGCAGCAAGCAUAGUUAGAAAAGUUGCCAUAGCGCGCCCUACGGAGUUGUACAAAGUUAGCAACCGUUUUGGGGCGUAAGCAUGGGCAACACAGGACUGAUGACGGGGUGGGGCGCGCAGUGAACUGGUUUUCUAAAAAGAUUGGAAGAUCCGGCCAAAGAAGGUGAUAGCCCUGUUCAUUCAUUCCCAUGGUUCGAUCCUUCCCGGUAAAACGCGGCGUGUUCGAAUGAUGAUUGCUUUUACGCGAGAAAGGGGGACCACCCUCUAAGCCUAAGUAUUCCUCAAUGACCGAUAGCAU
Molecule: ribosomal RNA, 339 nt
Filed under: Triticum aestivum (bread wheat)
Lineage: Eukaryota; Viridiplantae; Streptophyta; Magnoliopsida; Poales; Poaceae
Description: partial small subunit ribosomal RNA
Source: RNAcentral